CCCUUAGCUACAUCUAAAUUUCUUUGCUAUAUAAGACUAAGAGUAUGCUUCAUAAUAAUUUCUUGAUUAAUACUAAUUCCAAAGCAGACAAGCUUUUACAUUAUCUAAAUGUAUAUUGGAAGAGGGAGAAGAAAAUGCUGCAACUGGAUUUGCCAUUAACUGUAGUCUGGUCCCAUAAACAUAUAUGAUAGAGAAUACCCAAAAGAAAACAAAAGAAACAAGGAGAAACAAAAUCUAAUACUUAUAACACUAAAACAGGGAUUAAUCAGUUUAUUGUCAAAUAAAAUAAAUUACACCAUAAACACCAUUACUAAACUUGCAAAUAUUUUAUGGCGGUCUGCACAUCCUUAUCCCCUCUGCCACUGCAGUUCACUACAACCUUAGCUCCAUUUGGGAGAGUUGGGCUGAGCUUCUCCAAAUAAGCCAGGGCGUGAGAUGUCUCCAAAGCAGGUAUUAUGCCCUCUAAUCGUGAUAAUCUCUUGAAUGCUUCCAAUGCCUCCUCAUCUGUGACGCUGUAGUAUUCAGCACGUCCUUUCUCUUUCAGAAAACUGUGCUCAGGUCCAACUCCAGGAUAAUCCAACCCUGCACUAAUAGAAUGAGGCUCAAUUAUUUGUCCAUCAUCAUCUUGUAAUAAGUAGCUCAUAGCUCCAUGUAAGACCCCAACUUCUCCUUUGGUCAAAGUUGCUGCAUGCUUACCACUAUCCAAGCCUAAACCUGCAGCCUCCACACCAAUCAACCUAACAUCCUUGUCUUUAACAAAAUCAUCAAAGAGUCCUAUGGCAUUGGAGCCUCCACCAACACAAGCAACCAGAACAUCUGGCUUCCCACCCCAUUUUUCAAUUGCUUGUUUCCUUGUUUCUCUACCAAUAAUCUUAUGGAACUCCCGAACCAUCAUGGGAUAUGGAUGUGGCCCAGCUACAGAUCCCAAAAUAUAAUGGGUUGUCUCCACAUUAGUCACCCAAUCUCGAAUAGCUUCUGAUGUAGCGUCCUUCAGUGUGGCUGUUCCAGAAUGGACUGCCCUGACCUCAGCCCCAAGAAGCCGCAUCCUGAAAACAUUAAGUGCCUGUCUUUCCAUAUCUUGUGCACCCAUGUAGAUAAUACACUGCAAGCCAAACCUUGCACAAACUGUAGCAGUUGCAACUCCAUGCUGACCAGCCCCAGUUUCAGCAAUUAUACGCUUUUUGGCCAAACGUUUAGCAAGCAAAACUUGCCCAACGGCAUUAUUGAUCUUAUGUGCACCUGUGUGAUUAAGAUCUUCCCUCUUGAGAUAAAUGUGCGGUCCUUCACCAUUAGGACGCCUAUAAUGCUCUGUAAGCCGCUCAGCAAAGUAGAGAGGAGUUUCCCUACCAACAUAAUCUUUCAAAAUCCCAGCUAGUUCAUUCUGAAAAUCUGGGUCAUCUUUGAGGGAAUCGAAGGCGGAUUCGAGCUCAGAGAGAGCAUGCAUUAGGGUUUCAGGGACAUAUUUCCCGCCAAAUUUACCAAAACGGCCAUAAUAAUCGGGCCGCUGCCACAGAGCCGGGUCAGAAUCCUCCUUCCCCUCCAUCUUGACAGGAGCCUCUCUAGCCAAAGUGCAAGAGACGGAAAAUCCAGCAGACUUAGAAGAGGAUGAUGGGCAAGGCGUAAAUUUGCCGAACUUGAAGGGCAACUUGGAUGAAGAGUAGGGAUUGGAGAGAGUAGAAGAAGAAGAAAUGUGAGCUCUGCAAAAAGAAACCGGCGCAGUAGCAGCGGCCAUUAGGGAUUAGCUUUUGGAGUUGGCGGCG
Molecule: unclassified non-coding RNA, 1760 nt
Filed under: Hevea brasiliensis (rubber tree)
Lineage: Eukaryota; Viridiplantae; Streptophyta; Magnoliopsida; Malpighiales; Euphorbiaceae
Source: RNAcentral